Molecule: transfer RNA, 83 nt
Filed under: Dehalococcoidales bacterium
Lineage: Bacteria; Bacillati; Chloroflexota; Dehalococcoidia; Dehalococcoidales
Description: tRNA-Tyr
Rfam family: tRNA
About the family: Transfer RNA (tRNA) molecules are approximately 80 nucleotides in length. Their secondary structure includes four short double-helical elements and three loops (D, anti-codon, and T loops).
Source: RNAcentral
GGAGGGGUGGGUGAGUGGUUAAAACCAGCAGACUGUAAAUCUGCCGCCGGAAGGCUUCGUUGGUUCGAAUCCAACCCCCUCCA